This 2147-nucleotide long non-coding RNA is filed under the name Eucalyptus grandis. RNAcentral's name for it is "long non-coding RNA (EGRA_LNC004717)". The record is from RNAcentral. Lineage: Eukaryota; Viridiplantae; Streptophyta; Magnoliopsida; Myrtales; Myrtaceae.
UCCAAAUGGGUGCCUACUCCAUUUCUAGAGACUGCUCAAGAGUUAUGCCUAAUCAACCAUACUCAAUGUCACGCCCCGAUCCUCCGAGUGCACGAACAUCCCACUCUGGUCGAUACAAAUGCGACUUCCCAGGACACGUCGCGGACCCAUUCAUUUUUAUAUUGCACAUGCGGAAGCAAAACAAAUCCCCUGACAACAUUUAACUUGGGAUAGAAAAGCAGGCAAUCAAUCACAACCGAACAAGCUUUCUAUAAACACAUAGGUUUAUAUACAACAUUGGAUUGUCUACAAAAUAGACAGGCUCAACAACUAGGGAAUUGUCCUAUGACCAACUUGUCAAACACGUUCGCCGCUUCUUCAGCCUCCACCUUCCGAACUCCAGGACUUCCGGUCCUCCACGACUGUCAUCUAGGGACCUGAAAUAUUAUCCCACAACCGGGAUGAGACUACGUCUCAGCGAGUCCUACCCUCUAAAACUCAAUUAGGAAGAAAAUACGCCUCAGGGCGCUCUAGCCACACAAAUGGGAUAGAGGACUUACCUCGCCUCAAUUCCUUCAUGCACAUCAGUUUAAUCAAUAAAUAUUGACAAGCACAUCAUCCAAACAAUUCAAUUACUUGGAUCGAUUCAGCGAUCAAUCGACUUAGUCGAUUACAUGUCUUCGAAAUCAUCACACGGUCAUUCUAACUAUUCAUUCUCGACUUUCAAUCAUGGCCUUACAGGCAAGUCUAUAUGUAGUGGUAUUACGGCCCCACUCGGUAAUGUUAUAUGUAGUGGCAUUACGGCCCCACUCGGCAAUGUUUAGAUUUGAUGGCUUUCUAGGAUCAACUCACAACCUCUCACGGUCAUUUUACCAUAAAAAACCAACACUAAUCAACUUUGGGAUAAACCCCCACAUAAACAUACAUUCAAUCAAUCGAUACAAACUGGACCUACCAACCAAUUAUGGUGCCAAAAGCCAAACACGGGGUAUUUCAAGUUAAAUACCAAAACUUCAUCAAUAUCACUCAAUUCCACACUUUUGGAAUAAUUAACCAUAACCAUCAAUCACUCAAUUUCUCAGUUUAAGCUUACAAUUAACACAAACCGACCGCACUGCUGCGAUUAGCGCGAAAUUCUAACGACCGGCCAUCCCGACAAAAUUUUCGAAAUUAUUAAAUAAUUGAAUUUAAUUCCGAAAAUGAAAUAAUUAAAUAUUAUAUUAUAAUAAUAUAAUUUAAUAAAAUAAUAUUUAUAAAUUCGAAAUAAUUAAUUAGGGCUUAAACAAGAUUACACUAAUUUAAUCAUACAAUUAGCCCUAAUUAAACAUCCAUUAAGCUAAUCAUACAACUAAUCUAAUUUACAUUAAAAUAAUCUAAUCUAUCCACCUAAACCUAAUUAGACUAAUCUAAACACCCCAUUAAGCGUCAUUAACUCACUAAGCAAGAAUUAGAGGAUAAACUCACCGGUUUUGUGUGCCGGUGAGUUCACGGCGACCACGACACCAAGGCGGUCGAUAAACCCCAAAGCGGCGACACCAACGGAGGCCGGGAAGGGCUUGAAAACGGGCCACGAAGUCUCCAAAACCUUGCUGUCUUCUGCUUCUGAUCUGGACUGAACUGCAGAGAAGAAACCAGCAACUUCAACGGCGAAAACGGGCUGAUCGGAGCUCCGGCGAGCGGGUGGUUGGCAACCGGAGGCUCCCAAGGGUCAAAGGGAUCUUGCUGGAGGUUGGUAUGGGUGGAGGUAGGGUAGAAAUGGGGAGAAAAUGGCUGAAAACCGCGAAACGGGCGAAACAGGCGGAACCAGGCGAGUCCAGACGGUCCGGCGAGCGGCGACUUCGGGCGGCCGUACGGGACGACCAGAGAAUCGUUCCGGAGAACGACGAGGUGCUACGGAACGGGCUGGAUGUCUUCUUCGCGGAGAUGGGUGGCUCGUUUUCUGAUUCAACCGGGAAGUUAACUUUUUACUCUGAUCUUUGGCGAAAGGUCGGCUGGAGCAGAAACUGGAACGAGGGGAAAACAAGGGGAAAAAGAGGUCCGGCGGGCAAGCGACGGUCUUGGGUGGCUGAGGGCUGAUCUCCUCUGGUUCUUUGAAGUUCAAGAUGGACAACAAAAAUGGAGAAAGCCUUGAAUUAAGGGAGAAGAAGCUGCUGAAGAGUGGGGGGUCU